ACGUGGGCUUUAGCGCGAGCUGGGCGGUCGGCCCGGUCCCACCGAACUGCAUAGGGCCGUGUAGCCGGGGGAAGUCAGCCCCCUGCUCUGAGAAGCAGACUCUGCAUCUGUAAAAGGCUAAGCGUGCCCACUGGGGCCUGUGGUCAGGAUUGGCUGCAGUGAGGUCCGCAAAGCCCCUACCGCAUCCUGCGCCUUCGUUAGGGUGAGCAGUCAUGGGGACUCGCAUUGUGCCACCACGUAGCGGGUCUCACUGGGUCCGCUUGUCUGCUCGAGGAGACAGCCGGUGAGGACGGGAGCUGGCCUGCUUUGCCCAGGCUGUAACCUCAGCCUCCGCCCAUACCCACAGAGAAAAAGUAGUCAUAAUACAAAAGAAAAAUGGACAAUGCUUGGAUACCAUAAUAAAAAUUAACACUACCAACAAGGAGCAUGGACAUUGUGUGGCUUCAGAUGUAAUGUGAAGGACAACCUCCGUUGAAAAGGGCAACUGCUGUAGUAUUCUAAUCUGGAAUGCAUCACCUAAUCCUAUCAUAAGAAGACAUUAGGAAAAAAAAAAUAAAGAUAAUUCCAUUUUUUUA
RNAcentral lists this long non-coding RNA (575 nucleotides) under Homo sapiens (human). RNAcentral describes it as "HSALNT0406320". Lineage: Eukaryota; Metazoa; Chordata; Mammalia; Primates; Hominidae. The record is from RNAcentral.